RNAcentral lists this ribosomal RNA (422 nucleotides) under uncultured soil bacterium. RNAcentral describes it as "bacterial SSU rRNA". It matches the Rfam family "Bacterial small subunit ribosomal RNA", at positions 26 to 433 of the family's 1533-position model. The record is from RNAcentral.
AGAGUGAACGCUGGCGGUAGGCCUAACACAUGCAAGUCGAACGGCAGCACGGUAAGAGCUUGCUCUUAUGGGUGGCGAGUGGCGGACGGGUGAGGAAUACAUCGGAAUCUACCUUUUGGUGGGGGAUAACGUAGGGAAACUUACGCUAAUACCGCAUACGCCCUUCGGGGGAAAGCCGGGGACCAGCAAUGGCCUGGCGCUGAUAGAUGAGCCGAUGUCGGAUUAGCUAGUUGGUGAGGUAAUGGCUCACCAAGGCGACGAUCCGUAGCUGGUCUGAGAGGAUGAUCAGCCACACUGGAACUGAGACACGGUCCAGACUCCUACGGGAGCAGCAGGUGGGGAAUAGUUGGACAAGUGGCGCAAGCCUGAUCCAGCAAUGCCGCGUGUGUGGAAGUAAGGCCGUUUACGGGUUAGUUAAACGG